GAGAAACAGGGAGAAACAGGUAGGAACGGGGAGAAACAGGUAGGAACAGGGAGAAACAAGUAGGAACAGGGAAAAACAAGGAGAAACAAGUAGGAACAGGGAGAAACAGGUAUGAACAGGGAGAAACAGGUAGGAACAGGGAGAAAAACAGGUAGGAACAGGAAGAAACAAGGAUAAUCAAGUAGGACCAGGGAGAAACAGGUAGCAACAGGGAGAAACAGGUUGGAACAGGGAGAAACAGGUAGGAACAGGGAGAAACAAGGAUAAACAGGUGGGAACAGGGAGAAACAGGUAGGAACAGUGAGAAACAGGUAGGAACAGGGAGAAACGGGGAGAAACAAGUAGGAACAGGGAGAAAUAAGGAGAAACAAGUAGAAACAGGGAGAAACAGGUAGGAACAGGGAGAAACACGUAGGAACAGGGAGAAACAGGUAGGAACAGGGAGAAACAGGUAGGAACAGGGAGAAGCAAGGAGAAACAAGUAGGAACAGGGAGAAACAAGUAGCAACAGGGAGAAACAAUUAGGAACAGGUAGGAACAUGGAGAAACAGGGAGAAACAAGUAGGAACAGGGAGAAACAGGUAGGAAAACGGAGAAACAAGUAGGAACAGGGAGAAAUAGGUAGGAACAGGGAGAAACAGGUAGGAACAGGGAAAAACAAGGAGAAACAAGUAGGAACAGGGAGAAACAGGUAGGAACAGGGAGAAACAGGUAGGAACAGGGAGAAAAACAGGUAGGAACAGGAAGAAACAAGGAUAAUCAAGUAGGACCAGGGAGAAACAUGUAGCAACAGGGAGAAACAGGGAGAAAAAAGUAGAAACAGGGAGAAACAAGUAGAAACAGGGAG
This is a long non-coding RNA of Oncorhynchus keta (chum salmon), 847 nucleotides long. RefSeq lists it as uncharacterized. The record is from RefSeq and is a predicted model, not a curated record. The transcript has 3 exons. NCBI's taxonomy places the organism in Eukaryota, Metazoa, Chordata, Actinopteri, Salmoniformes, Salmonidae.